Molecule: ribosomal RNA, 484 nt
Filed under: uncultured bacterium
Lineage: Bacteria
Description: partial 16S ribosomal RNA
Rfam family: Bacterial small subunit ribosomal RNA
Source: RNAcentral
AUUGAACGCUGGCGGCAUGCCUUACACAUGCAAGUCGAACGGCAGCACGGUCUUCGCCCUCUCUUCCAGGGGCGGACUGGUGAGUGAUGCAGCAGAACGUCCCCAGCAACUUGGUAUAGGGGGGUAACAUCCGGAUUAAUACGCCAUAAGACCUGAGGGUGAACGCGUGGGACCGAAAGGCCUCGCGCCAUUGGAGCGUCCGAUGUCGGAUUAGCUAGUUGGUGGGGUAAAGGCCUACCAAGGCGACGAUCCGUAGCUGGUCUGAGAGGAUGACCAGCCACACUGGAACUGAGACACGGCCCAGACUCCUACGGGAGGCAGCAGUGGGGAAUUUUGGACAAUGGGGGCAAGCCUGAUCCAGCCAUGCCGCGUGCGGGAAGAAGGCCUUCGGGUUGUAAAGCGCUUUUGUUGGGAAAGAAAACCAGCAGGCUAAUACCCCGGGGUGAUGACGGUACCGAAAGAAUAAGCACCGGCUAACUUCGUG